RNAcentral lists this ribosomal RNA (119 nucleotides) under Pteropus alecto (black flying fox). Lineage: Eukaryota; Metazoa; Chordata; Mammalia; Chiroptera; Pteropodidae. The record is from RNAcentral.
GUCUACAGCCAUGACACCCUGAACAUGCCCGAUCUCUUCUGAUCUCAGAAGCUAAGUAGGGUCAGGCCUGGUUAGUACUUGAAUGGGAGACCACUUAGGAAUACCAGGUGCUGUAGGCG